Molecule: ribosomal RNA, 433 nt
Filed under: uncultured bacterium
Lineage: Bacteria
Description: partial 16S ribosomal RNA
Rfam family: Bacterial small subunit ribosomal RNA
Source: RNAcentral
AACGAACGCUGGCGGCAUGCCUAACACAUGCAAGUCGAACGAGACCUUCGGGUCUAGUGGCGCACGGGUGCGUAACGCGUGGGAACCUGCCCUUAGGUUCGGAAUAACUCCCCGAAAGGGGUGCUAAUACCGGAUAAUGUCUUCGGACCAAAGAUUUAUCGCCUUUGGAUGGGCCCGCGUUGGAUUAGCUAGUUGGUAGGGUAAAAGCCUACCAAGGCGACGAUCCAUAGCUGGUCUGAGAGGAUGAUCAGCCACACUGGGACUGAGACACGGCCCAGACUCCUACGGGAGGCAGCCGUGGGGAAUAUUGGACAAUGGGCGAAAGCCUGAUCCAGCAAUGCCGCGUGAGUGAUGAAGGCCUUAGGGUUGUAAAGCUCUUUUACCCGGGAUGAUAAUGACAGUACCGGGAGAAUAAGCUCCGGCUAACUCCGUG